RNAcentral lists this ribosomal RNA (175 nucleotides) under uncultured bacterium. RNAcentral describes it as "partial 16S ribosomal RNA". It matches the Rfam family "Bacterial small subunit ribosomal RNA", at positions 335 to 527 of the family's 1533-position model. The record is from RNAcentral.
CGAUUACGGGAGGCAGCAGUGAGGAAUCUUCCACAAUGGGCGAAAGCCUGAUGGAGCAACGCCGCGUGAAGGAUGAAGGCCUUCGGGUUGUAAACUUCUUUUAUGAGUGAAGAAUAUGACGGUAACUCAUGAAUAAGCACCGGCUAACUACGUGCCAGCAGCCGCGGUAAUAUCG